UCCGAAUUGGUGUAGUUGGUUAACAUCACGGACUCUCUAUCUGUGGCCCAGGGUUCGAAUCCCUGAUUCGGAG
Molecule: non-coding RNA, 73 nt
Organism: Xylariales sp. AK1849
Lineage: Eukaryota; Fungi; Ascomycota; Sordariomycetes; Xylariales
Source: the annotation of a GenBank genome assembly